AACAACAAAAAAAUGCUUGCUUAAAUCAAGGUUUCAAAGUGUAAAUAUGUACGACGAUGACAGUCGCUAUUGUGACGAGUUUUUAUCUGCAGAUCACAGACGAAAAAUAAAAACACUAAUGGGAUAACACAAUAGCUGGUGUGUAAAAGUGUGCUUGAGAAAAACAACUGCCAAAAACAGCAACAAGUAACAAAAAGCAUUAAAUGUGGAGUUAGUACCAAGUGUCACUACUAUCACAUUGGUUUUCAAUCACAAUACAAAAAUUAAAAAAGGGGGAGGGGAGCCCAUCUGUUGCAUUAAUGAAACGUAGAUGCAACACAUGGCAACGGUAAUGACAUGACCCCAUGAAUCUUUCUAAAGCAGGCGCACCCAAAUAACAAGAGGACAUACAAUAACAAUGGAAACAAAAGCUGCAAACAAAGAAGCAACAAAAACAGCCAACAACAGCAACAAAAAAGAUUCAGCAACAAAAUGUGAAUAAC
Dermacentor silvarum is the source of this 482-nucleotide long non-coding RNA. RefSeq lists it as uncharacterized. The transcript has 2 exons. NCBI's taxonomy places the organism in Eukaryota, Metazoa, Arthropoda, Arachnida, Ixodida, Ixodidae. The record is from RefSeq and is a predicted model, not a curated record.